Molecule: unclassified non-coding RNA, 202 nt
Filed under: Hevea brasiliensis (rubber tree)
Lineage: Eukaryota; Viridiplantae; Streptophyta; Magnoliopsida; Malpighiales; Euphorbiaceae
Source: RNAcentral
AACGCGCCAUUAAUGAGCUUUAUUCAUUUCUUUCUUCCAAAUAUAGUGAGUGAUAGGCUAUCCAUCAAUCAUAUUGGUACUGCCUCAACUGAAUGACCUUCAUGACCAAAGGUCGAUCUAAUUGCAGGCUCAGAAGAUGGGUAAUCGAUGGUGGCAGUGGAGGUAGAGGUAUAGCUCGAUGCUGUGUUGAAGCAGUAGACCC